UCCACGCAUAUUUAAUCCACCAGAUCGAAACCUUCUUGAGAAUUUUAGAGAUUUGGAACUAGAGAUUCAAGUUUUUUUGGGUGGAGCUCAAGAUUUUCAUUUUCGCCAUCUCUUUUUGACCAUUGUUGACCUUGGUUUUUGGGUUUUCUCCUAAAAACCAUUUUGGUCCGAUUUUCUCAAGGAUCUUGACGACUUGCUCGUGGUUUUAAGUUCCUAGAAGCUAAAGUCGUGUUUUGCCAAGCGARGAGUUUUGAUGUUCUCGUUUUGGAGCCGUAGGGUCAAAUCAAGUGAGGAGUUUUCUAAUGUUCUCAGCUUGGCCCCUUUUUGGUUGUGACAAGAGAGAAGUUUUGAGGUUCUCUUCUUGAUAUCAAUGGUUUGGGACAAACUAAGGAGUUUUGAUGUUUUCGCUUUAAAACCUUUGAUUUUAGGCAAGUGACGAGUUUUGAUGUUCUCAUCUUGUAACCUGGGAUUGACUAAGUAAAGAGUUUUGAUGUUCUUAUUUUUGCCUCAAUAAGAGUAAUUACCAAGGGUUGUAUGUC
Long non-coding RNA from Cynara cardunculus var. scolymus (artichoke), 539 nucleotides. RefSeq lists it as uncharacterized. The transcript is spliced from 2 exons. NCBI's taxonomy places the organism in Eukaryota, Viridiplantae, Streptophyta, Magnoliopsida, Asterales, Asteraceae. The record is from RefSeq and is a predicted model, not a curated record.